RNA transcript from Anolis carolinensis (green anole), 19666 nucleotides. It is a transcript of the gene named transcription activation suppressor, with no coding region annotated. The transcript has 27 exons. Lineage: Eukaryota; Metazoa; Chordata; Lepidosauria; Squamata; Anolidae. The record is from RefSeq and is a predicted model, not a curated record.
CGCCUCCUUUCUGACGCUCCGGCGCCAUGUUAGAAAGAAGAAGAGAAGCAGAAAAAGGAGGAAAGGGAGGGAGGAGUGGCUGUUGGCGGCGGUGUAGCGGGGCGGGGGCGGAGAAGGAGCGGCGUUGGUGGUAGAUGGCUCGGCGGGAAGGGCGCCUGUCUCGGUGGCGAGUGGGAGAGGCAUUGUUUAUUGCGUAGGGCGGCUUAAUGGCGGAGGCUUCGGCGGCGGGCGGCUGUGAGAAGGCGCCAGGGCCGCCUCAGCGGGCAGAGAGAAGCAGCAGCAGCAGCAACGACUUCCCCUCAGGAGCCGAAGCGGAGGCCUUCUCACAAAAUGGCGCCCGCCCUGAGAGGAGCCAAAGCGGCGACGAGGAGGCGGCGGCGGCGCUGCUGGACCUCCCGAAGGCCGCCUCCGCCGCCGACGACGUGCCUCUGAAGAGAAACUUUCAGAUCCCCAGGAAGAGCCGAGAAAAGAAAGCACUUUUUCAACCUCUAACAAAGGAAUCUCGUGAAUUUGAAGAUGUCAUGAACAUUUUGCAUUCGUCAUAUUUGGAAGUCCAUUCAAAGGACAAUUUCAUCUACAAGCAAGCUAGUUUGAUUCAUAAUGAACUUUUUGAAAAGGAAUUCAUAGAGAAACGAAGAGAGUUGAAAAGAGAUGGACGAUUGGAAAAAGAGCUGGUUGAAACCUAUGCAUUUCUGAAGGUUGACCGUGAAUUGGUGCAAAACAUAUGUGAAAAUGGAUUGCAGGCAGGCCAUUCUAAAAUAACUGUUCUUGGCAGCCCUUUUCGAGGUGUAUAUCUUUCUAAAUAUGCUGAUUUAUUGCAAGCUAAUCCUUUGGAUGGUAAAGCAACUGGUGAUAUUAUUAUAUUUAAAGUAAUUAAGGGGAGAACAAAAACUAUAUAUGAUAACUUGGGAGGAAAUCCAAUGGAUUCAAUUGUUAAAAAUGCAUUGGACCCUACACCAAAGUAUGAGUGCCAUAUUUCAAAGAAUGCAAACAGAAUUACUUCCGUUUUAACUUAUAGAGCGUUUGAACGCACACAGUAUUACUUUUAUGAAUACGGCUUUGAUGAGAUCAGACAAAGACCAAGACAUGUUUGUCCAUAUGCGGUUGUAUCGUUUUCUUGCAAAGGUGAAAAGGUACAGAAGUAUUUGCCCCAAGCAAGAUCAAAGAUUUCUAAUGUGGAUAAGAGCACUGAUAACACAAGUUACACCUUGUGGAAUGGGCAGCUUUUAAACAGAGGGACACUUGUAUGCCAUGCUGCUCUGAAAUCAGAAACACGGCCGUUGCUUCCAUGCAAACUUCCUGAAAAACUUGAUGUUGACAUGGUUAUGAGCAUUGAACACUUGAAGCAACGUUUCUCAACACGUGCCCUGCAGAAAGAAGCGUAUUCAGGAGAAAGGGAAGAGUUCAGGAGUGGAAUGUAUUGCAGUCUUUAUGAAAUCGUGGAAAAGACAAGAUCAGGAAGUAAUUUGGAAGGAUUACUACAAAAGCUGGAGACAGACAAACUAGUCAUUGUAAAACCACUUGUAGAUGGAGGGUAUUUAUUGCUGCUUUCUCCACAUCAGAUGGCUUCCCCAUAUGAGAACCGAACAGGAAAUCCUCGUACCUUGCAAGCAUUGUUUCUGUUUCGGAAUCCUAGAUGUGUUGUGACUUCAGCACACAAAAAUGAAAUGAAAAAUGAAAAUACAUCAAUAUUACAGGAACCACAUGUGGUUAUGCCCGAAUUUACAAGAUUUAUUCAAUCUCUGCAUUAUGCUUAUGUUAAUUCCCGUAAAGAUCCUAGGUCUGACUUAAAUACUACGGUGGAAAAAUACAUAAAUGAUUAUCUGAAACGUUAUAGUAAAUAUAAAGAAUUUGUUUUAUUUGACUAUAAAGAUACCUUGGAUGAGAAAAAGCAUCUAUAUCCAGCCCCCAAAAAUAAAUCCCACAUUGACAGUUCCUUGCGUGCCUAUAUUUUUGGUUCUGAUGCCUAUCAGAUGCCUGUUUCUAAAGCCAAAAAAUUAAUGGAUGGUUAUCAAAAACCUCAGCAGUUCAGUCCUGUUUCAGAUUGUGAAGCCCCAGAAGAAGAGUCUGACUACACCAAGAGAAAAGCCAAGAAAAGGAACAAUUCUAAAAGUGAAGAAAUAGCCGCCAAGAGAAAGCCUAAUCAUCCUAGGGAUUAUGAUCAAGAAAGUAUAAAAGAACUAAUUAAUUUAAUUCAUAGAAAGAAGAAAAACAUAGAUAACGAUUCUGAUACAGAAGAUAGCAGAAUUGAAAACCAAUUGAAACGAAAGCUGGAAGGUGACAGCGCACCAGAAACACUUCAUUCAAUGAUAGCUGAUCUUGGUGGACAUGAUACUGAUCUGAGGCAGCAAAACAUUUCUGAGUCUCCAGUUCCUGACUCAUCUUUAUUAAUGCUUCUUUCAAAGAUUCUCAGUAAUCCAGAAUUGCCAUCGACAGGAUUGAUUAAACAACCUUCCCCAGAAAAUUAUUCAGACCAAGCUGGUGACAUCAAACCAAUUGCUGUACAGAUUAAAGAAGAACCUCAGUUUCUUGUUACUGCACAUGUUGAGAAUACUCAUUUGAUGGAUCCCCAAAGUCCGGUCAAGCUGGAAACAAAUGUGCUAUGUUUGCCUUACUCUGUUGAUGUCUCUAGUUGUGAAGCAGACACCACUAAUCAUAUGCGACAUUUAAAAGACAUAAGCACGGGAAGUGUAAGUAGCUUUGAUGGUUGCAGCAGCCCAUGUUCUAAUACACCUCUUGAACAGAGCUAUCAUAGGCAGAAUUCCAGCUCAAAUAGUAUUUCUACAACUGGCAUAAAUUGGAAACUGAUGCCCAUUAUAGGAGGGGCAGGAAGAGUUCCUGAGGAACAACUGAGAAUGCAUGGCGAUAACCAAACAGGCUUGAAAUCUCGAGAUGAAUUGUUUGCUUAUUCACCACCAAAGGAUGCAUCUGAAAAUGAUCCACGUGCAAUAAGUAGGCGAAGAAAUUGUGAUUAUCCAUCUACAUGCUCUGCAUUUUCAGACUCACAAGAGGGAAGAAUAGAAGAUGAAGUAAAUAUAGAGCAAGAGACAAAAUUUGAAGAACAGCUUGAAACUGAGACAAAUUACUGUAUGUCAACUUCCAUAAAUGGACUAAUAGAAACAGCAAUAUUAGAAGAAUACACUCUAUUUACCAGCAAAAUUCAGGAGAUGUUGAAGCAGAAGAAUAUUAUUUAUGCCAGUAGAAUAUCCAGACCUGUUAUUUCAGCCCAGGAAAGGGUUAUGAGACUUUCUGAAUAUAUAUGUUUACAGGCAUCGGAUAUUGCUGUCCAAGAAUAUGUAGAAAGACUGAGUGAAAACCUCAACAACGUUAUUUUGACAUCUUCAUGUGGCAUCCAAAGUGUUCCCAUUACUUGCAGUUCUGAACUGGUAAAUGACUCAGAUGAUACAGAAUUGAAUCUGCCAUCAGUAGAGAUUGUGCCUCUCUCAGGCGACCUUGACAUGGAGCAAUUUCCAGAGCCACCAUGCAGCAAGGUGGAAGGAGAUUCAUUCAUUGAUGAACAGGAUCACUUAAAAACCUUUGACACAGGAAAAGAACACAGCCCACUGAGUGCCAACAUGGAAAUGAAGUUGGCAGCAGAACCAAAUGUCUGUAGUGCUGACCCUGUGCAGCAGACAGAUAAGGUGUCGAAGGUGGCAGAUAAUUCAAAGGUUACAACCAAGACGGCUGUGGUUGGCCUUAUAAGCCAGUUAAAACCUGAAGUAUUUGACAGUAUUGUCAAAAUAAUGCAAGAUGUACAAAAAAACACUGUGAAAUUUUACAUCUAUGAAGAGCAAGAGAGCACACUUUGUAAAGAAAUAAAGGAAUAUCUUACUAAAUUAGGUAAUACAGAGUGCCAUCCUGAGCAGUUUUUAAGAAGAAGAGCUGAUUUGGAUAAAUUGCUUAUUAUUAUUCAAAAUGAAGAUAUUGCCAAUCUAAUUCAUAAGAUACCACGUUUAGUAACUUUGAAGAGGCUUCCAUGUGUCAGCUUUGCUGGUGUUGACAGUCUGGAUGAUGUAAAAAAUCACACUUACAAUGAAUUAUUUGUUUCUGGUGGCUUCAUUGUCUCUGAUGAAUCAGUUCUCAAUCCGGAAUCUGUGACAGUUGAUAAACUUAGUAGUUUUCUGAAAUUCCUCGAAGAGCUUAGUACUCCUGAUGGAAAAUGGCAGUGGAAAGUUCACUGCAAAAUACAGAAAAAAUUGAAGGAACUUGGAAGAACAAAUGCCAAUGCCACUAGUUUGCUGACGCUUCUGAAUACGUAUCAAAAGAAGCAUAUGGUUGAAAUCCUGUCGUACCAUAGCUGUGAUUCUCAAACUCGGAAUCCUCCAGAAUUAGACUGCCUUAUAAAACUUCAAGCUCAGAAUAUACAGCAGAGGCACAUUGUCUUCUUGACAGAGAAGAAUGUGUUAACAGCCUCUUGUGCUGAUAACGGAAUAGUGGUCGCUUCGUUGGAUUUGUUCAUGCAGAAUUUUAAAAGUCUUGUUGGAUACCAUAACCUGAUCACUGAUGAAAACUGCCUUCCUCCCCCAGUUGAUCCUGAGAGACAGUCAGCAAACCAGUUAGCACAAAUAGGCUCAGAAGACAUACUAGUCACCUAAUCCUUCACUGGUACUACAUUCAAACCCCAGAGAAAGUUUCAAUGAAAUUCAAACAAAGAAAGAGAAAAGAACUGGAUGCUAAAGGACAAGAUGAAAAAAAACUAAUGAAGAAAUAAAAAUAAAAUAUUUAUGAAAUUAUGAGACCAACUUGGAAAUACCAACUCAUGAAUCCAAUUCAUACGUACCUGCCGUAGUUCGGAAAGUCCUUUUAGUAUGGCCUGCUGCCUGUCUCUCACCACAUUUGGAUUAAAAAGUGGGUCCCGGACGUGAUCGGAGCUAAAAGUCUGCCGUGGUGUAUAGUAAACAUCUAAGGUAUCUACCGUUCAGCUGGUGAUACUGUGGAUCAUGUGUUGAAGGUCUCGUCAUGGGUGCAUCUGGAUCAAGGUAAUAUACUUCAUUUGUUCGCACAUAGGGGACAAAAUGAGAUGAAGGUGGCCUUUCAGGUGCAAAAUUUGAAGGUCUUUCACUCUGAUGCUUGUUUAUAGUGAUACUUUUUUCUCUUCCAUCAUUUCUAUCAUGAGUUGAGAAAUCAGAAGUCUUCGUUUGUUGCUGUAAUCUGUUUUUAACUGCUGGGACAGGGGGUGAGUCAGAUCUAUUUAAAAACAAGAACAACUCAACUGUUUAUUCUAUUUGUUGAAUUACCUUCAACAAAAAUACUGAGAUCUAAUUCCAAGAACUUGAAUAUACCCAAGCCACGAUUUUAAAAAUACUGGCUUUGUGCUUUACCUUACCUGAGCGUUCAGUGCUGUGCUGUACAGCUGCUUACCACAUAGGCAAAAACAUUACCUAUAGUUAAGCAAAUUAUAUUGCAUUUAUAUCCUCUGAGGAGCUCAAAGACAAUUUAUUACUAGUCCCUUCCAUUUCAACCUCACAACAUCUCAAUGAAGUAGUUGAGAAUAAGAAAAAAGGCUAGCAUUUGGCUUCAUUUUAGUCAAUGGAAUGCAUCAUUAAAUUUAAAAAAACUUAAUUAAAUAAAAAAACUGUCUUCAUUAUGUUUACCAUUUUAAAGUAUUGUGUUUUACACUAAUAUAUAUUGGAUUAUAUCGUGCAAGACAUAUUUUGAUCUCUGCCAUGAUUAAAAACACUAGAUUUUUCAUCUUUUUAUUUUGUGCCUUUAAGACAAUUUUUGAUAAACCAGAAUUCAGUUGUGAUGCUUUUGAAACUAAUUUCUAAAAAGUAAAGAAAGUCUUGAUCUUGUGAACGUAUCAAAAUUCACUAAAUAAAUUGAGCUGAUACCUACCUUAGUUCAACCAAAUUGUUUUUCAGAAGUGAUUCUUCCUAAAAUAAGACCAAAAUAAAUAAAUAUAUGACAAAGCAUUUCUCACCAUUUUGUAUUUUGUAAAUAAUACUUCAUAAUUUAAAGGAAAGAAAAAGCAAGCUGACUUGGGGGUGUUAUCACAUAAAUGAAAUGUUGGAAGUUAAGUCAUUUUAUGGUGAUUGUGUUGAUGUGAGUACUGUGUGUUGUUGGGCGAGUAAGUUUAAAGAUGUUGAGGUGGGAACAUCUGACUUGCGUAACAAACAAAGAGUUGAAUCUUCCGAUAGCCAAGCAAAGCAAUAAUGUGACCCACACGUUUUUGUGAAAUGCUGAUUAUGCUUGAAAUUUCUUUCUGAGUGAUAUGACAAUCGUCCUGAAUCAAUCUGUCAAACUUUUGCUUGUGAUACUCGGUGGUUGCUGUCACAGGACGUCCAACUCUUUGUUUUUCAUGCAAGUCAGAUGUUCCCACCUCAACAUCUUUAAACUUACUCACCCAACGACGCAGAGUACUCACAUCAACACAAUCACCAUACACAGCUUGCAUUCUCUGAUGAAUCUCCUUUGGGGUGACACCUUCUGCUGUCAAGAAUUAAAUGACUGCACGUUGCUUAAGUCGCAUUGACUAACCAUCUGCACAGGGUUCCAUACUUUGCACUUUAACAACACAACCGUUCAAUGCUAAGGCUUCCCACCAAAUGGAACUGUAGAGGAGAGUCUACUGAACAAGCCAGUACCUGCCGCAUACCUGUACUGCCAUCUGUUGAGGAGUUAAUGAAGGAGGUGAGACGAAAACGGAACAGGGCCCCACUGAAAGCUGGAACAUGAAACGGGACAAGGUAAGUCCCGAAUGCACACCAAUAAUAAAUACCCCUUUUUAUGUCUUUUUAAUGAACAUGCAUACCUGUCUGCACAGCGGUGUCUUUUCGAGGAGAAAGAACAGUUUUGACAUCAUGGUUCACUAUGCUGCGACUGCCUUCACAAAAGUCAUCAUGGUGAUCAGUGACAUUCAGUAAGCCAUCCAGAUCAGUACAGUAACUCUCAUAAUUUAUAUCACCUACGGGAAAAAAGUAUUCACAUGUUCCUAAGUCUAGGGCUCUACUACAUAUUAGUUUAACACUGAAUUCACACAUUCAUCCAUUUCUAAUGAUUACGUGGGAUUAAAGGGUUGGGAAUGAUGUGUUGGUACUUACCAUGAAUAGUUGGGUUACAUCUCCCCAUUCAUCAAGUCUUCAGGGUGAAGCACUAGGAAGUAAUCGAUAAUCACAUGGGAGUAUAACCUAUGUGAUUAUGGAUCACUCCUCUGCACAUUAACACAGUUAAAGAUAAGGAAAGACUCCCAUUUGUGUGAAUUACAGAGACCAUGAAGAAGGAGGACAGCUAGCUUACUCCUAACUGUAGUUAGAUGACCACUUAAAGAACUAUAGUUACAAGUAAGCUACCCCACCUUCUUCAUGGUCUCUUAACUCAUACAAAUGGGAGAUUAGCAAACUACUCAACUUUCCAUAGGAUUCUGGAGUGCCAUGAGAAACAAGAAAACAGCAGAGCUCUCCUGAAGGCGUUUUCAGCCCCGGUCCUUGUAUCAGUUCUGUCCCAAGAAGCCCUUUGAUACUUGAGAUCUGAAGAACUGCAGUGCACAUAUACAUCAUUAUGUUCAAAAUUGUUUGUAAAAACUUCCAAUUUUAUCCCAGAAACCAAGGACAAUACCAGUUUAGAUUUCAAUUUCUAAAUACAGUAGAGGUCUGGUUAACCGACUUUCGGUGAUCUGACCUAUCGUAUUAUCAGAUGUGCUUGCCAGAGGGAUGAGCCUCUUCCCUUCGGCAAGCACCCACACUUUGGAGAAGCCUGGUGCAUGGUUGUUGUAUGUUUUCCGGGCUGUAUGGCCAUGUUCCAGAAGUAUUCUCUCCUGACGUUUUGCCCACAUCUAUGGCAGGCAUCCUCAGAGGUUGUGAGGAUGCCUGCCAUAGAUGUGGGUGAAAUGUCAGGAGAGAAUACUUCUGGAACAUGGCCAUACAGCCCGGAAAACAUACAACAACCCUGUGAUCCCGGCCAUGAAAGCCUUUGACAACACAGCCCGGUGCAUGUUGCUAAACAGUAACAUACACCGGGCUUCCCUAAACUGGGUGCUUGUGGAAGGGACGAGACUCUUCCAUUCAGCAAGCACCCAGCUUGCUGAGAAGGAUAAUAGGACCUUCCUAUUAUCCUAAAGUUUCGGUUAUCCAACAUUCCGCCUGACCAUUUAUGUCGGAUAACCGGAACUCUACUGUAUUGUUUUCUAUUUAUUUGAUAAUGCCAUCAAGGUAUAAGGUGUUUUACAAAGUGCAACAAAAUUCAUGAACCUAACAUCUAAAACUCAACAAAGGGAAGACACUGGAAGUGGAAGCCAAGUGUACAAAUUCCGGGGAUCCACUCACUUCCAAGCUAACUAAAGGUCAAAGAUCUGUCAAAAUGAAGCAAUUAUCACAGAUACACCAAAAUAAUAAUUUACUGAUAACAUGCAGAUGUUAAGGAGAAUACAACAAUAAAAUCUAAACAAAGGCAAAGGUGAAGUUAGCUCACAACUCUUCAUCUGACUGAAACUGUUCUUCAUAAACACUGCUGUUCACCUGAAGAACAAAAUACUGCCCCAACAACCAGGGCUCCUGGGCUGGGCUACAGUCAAGAAUACAGCCAAGCCAGUGGCUUGGUUUUUCCUGAACUUUUAAUAUUCCUAUUUCCCUUGUUCUGAAAAGUGCUGAUAUUUUCUGAGAGGUUGGAUUACUCUAUCCUAACAAGGGAACAGCUUCUCAGGUAUUAUGAGAUAAAAAUAAUCUUAUCUAUAUCUACAGCAUGAGUUGUCCUUCCAUAGGCUGCAGGAGAAACUGCAAUCCUUGAAAGCUGCAUUAUAUGCUAUCAACUGCUUGAUUAACAAUUAAAUUACAGUUAACAGUGUUUAGUAUCCCUUAGCCUUAUAAAGCCCAUGUAAAAAUUCUUAUUAGAAGAUAAGAAUCUCUGUGUGACUUGGGUUUAUUGUGAAGAAGUGACCCAACUAAAAGCCUGUUACUUACUGCUACCAAUAUUCUUUUGUAGUUUAGAAGUAUCAUGUCCCUUUUCAGCCAACUCUUUAAUGCGUUGUUCCUGUUUCAAUCUCUGGGCCAGCUCUUGAGCUUUCUGCAUUGUCUGAUAUAGCACAUUUGUUUUAAGAGCCAUAAUUUCCUAAGGGAAUAAAAUAAAGACAGAAAAAAGAACAUUUAGCAAAAAACCCAUACAUUUAUUUAUUUAUUUAUUUCAGUUAUUUAUACCCCGCCCUUCUCACCCGAGGGGACUCAGGGUGGCUUACAAGUGGCAAUUGAUGCCGUUACACUGAUAUACAAUAAACUAAAACGAUUAAAACAGUCAUAAAAUAGUCAUAAAAUACAAUAUACAAAGUUUAAAACAAUGCAAAGUGCUUAUGCCAUUCAUCCACCAGACCUUAUACAAAGUAAAUUUUUUAAAAUAAUUUUUGACACUAUAUUGAACACUACUUAUUCGAUUUACAUAUUAUUUGCAUAACAGAGAAUAUAUUUGGGUUACACAAUCAAUAUGUAAAAUGUCCUUUUAGAUAUUUCUGCGUAGAUGUAUAUUAAGUACAACCAGCCUGAAACAUCCUCCUGCAGAGUUUCCCCUUGAACUGCCAUGCUAUCUGAAGUGACAUGAACAAUAUUCCUUAGUAAAUUCCUCUUGAAUGCUCAAAAGCCUUGAUUAUGGUGAGAAGCUCCACCAUUUUAUUGAUGUGAAGCUAGGACCCUUAGUAUGACCAAUCACCCUGAAAUGUCAUGCUCCCCAACCUAUUAAAGUAAAUGUAGUAACCAUGAGGAUAGAUCUGGAGAUUUGAAUGACAUGCCUUAAAGGAGGUUUGAACAUAUUAAGAUACCUGUGGAAGUAUGGUUAAAUUAUUGUACUGGUAAUCUUGUGAAGGACUGAAUUGUUUAAGAAAUCAAUGCUGGUGAAGUCAGAAUUAGGGACAUGCCAGAUAUGAAACCAUCAAGCCCAACUAUCUUUAUACUGCGAUGCUGUUUGAACCCUAUAUCUAUGGGUCUCUGGGAAAUUAAGUUUUCUCUAUGACUGACUCCAACAUUGCCCCCAUGGAAUCUCUCUCUCUCUCUCUCCCUUCCCUCCCCAAACUUCCUUUUUAUAAAACAUUUCCAAAUAAAACAUUUCCAAAUAAAACUUGUGCCUGAUUUAAACAAGUGGUUGUGUGCUUUUGGCUGUAUUAUGCACACAGAGAUCACACUAGCGCUAGAAAAUGCUGCCAAGGCAAGUUGUGGCUGGGUGAAAAAAAUGUUGCGAGCUUUUGGUUCUAUGCACACACAGUAUACAGAGAGCAAUGUAGCCCACGCAGUAACCCUCAAAGAUUCUCGAAAAUUAAGCAAAAAUAUAAGACACUUGUAAGGCAAAAAACACCCACCCACCCUAAAAAAGAAUAAGCAAGUCCCUGCCUGUCAGUGCCUGUCUGUGUCUCCAUGGCAUGCAAAGCUUCUCUCUCCUUUUCUUUCCCCAGUGUGAAGAGUCAGCCUGAACUGACUCUGAACUGAACUGACCCUGUGUCCUAUGCCUGCCUGCCUGCCUGGAAAGCUAACCCAGUGUGGAGCUCCUCUCUCUUUCCCUUCCCAAGCGCGAGUGGAGGGUGUGGCAAGGUGCUGGGGAAUUUAAAGAGCAAUGGCCACAGACCCGCCUCCUCAGCCCCCCCCCCCCCCAGCCCUGUUUGGCUGAGAGGCAUGGCAACCUGUUUGGAUUUGCCUCCCGGUAGUGCUUGGUUGCUCCGUGAAUUUCGAUUCUUAAUUUUUUGGCGUGGACAAUGCCUGUGUGUUGGAUAUCACGUCAGAGGUACAAAUCUAAUGAAUUUGAUGCGACUUACAACAAGCUACAAAAAAAUGAACAGCCCUAAUAUGCGUUCAUACAUACAUACAUAUAUUGGAGUUAUUGUACACUUAAAAAUGUACCUGUUCCAACUUACAAAUUCAACUUAAGAACAAACCUAUAGAACCUAUCUUGUUUGUAACUUGGGGACUGCCUGUAUGUGUCAGAUUGCUCACUUUAAUUACUUCCACAAAAUGCUAUAAGUUGCUGACCUCUUUUUGCUUUUGUUUGAGCAGAUCUUCUUCAAACUGCUUCUUCAUCAGUUCUUGUUCUUUGGCAAGCCUUUGCUCUUCUUCCUGGUCUUCCUGUUUCCUUUGCUCCACUUCAAGUUGUUUCUGCUUCCGUUUUUCUUCUACUUGUGCCAUUAUGGCUUUCUAGAAAAAUUAAACACACAAUGAAAAGAUUUUAAUAAUUACUGAUGAUAUUAUAACCAUUUACAUACAUAUAAAAAGAAAAAUGUUCUAAAUCCAAGACCCUCUUUGAAUAUCUUUUAUUAGGUUUUUUCUUUUACAUAAAAAAACUCUGAACUAUUGAUUACAUUUUUUGCAUUUUAUCUGAUAGACAAACAAAAAAUAUUUUUGUAUCCUCUUCAAGUUAAAUAAUUGUAAUAGUCUUGAAAGCGGGUCUAUAAAAACACGUUCAAACCCAUAUCCAGAUUCAACAUUAACAGCACCUAAUAAAAAGCAUUUUUGGUACUGUCAAUUUAAGCAAACCUUCUAGAACAGUGGUUCUCAACCUAUGAGUCUCCAGAUAUUUUUGCCUUCAACUCCCAGAAAUGCUAACAGCUGGUAAACUGGCUGUGAUUUCUGGGAGUUAUAGACCAAAACACUUGGGUGCCCCUAGGUAGAGAAUCACUGUUCUAGAAUCUUGUGCCAAUAAUUCUGUUAGUUUUGCUUAAUAUCUCUGUUUUCUAGGCCUUUUCUUCCAAAGUCCUAGACAAGAAAAUGUGUAUAGAAGUGUACAUGUGUGAAAGAAGGAAGUACUAUGGAACGUGAGGUAAACAUGGCAACAAAAAUACAGGGUAAAAAACCUGAAAUUGCAAGACAUAGUUUGGUUUCUAAAAUUAACACACAGGCAGUCCAUGAGUUACAAAUAUUAGACUGGCAAACAACUCACAGUUAAGAACGGGGGUGAGACAACAGGAAGAAAGAAAAAUAUUCCCCUCGGAAAGGAAAUUCACUCUUGAAAGAGUUAUCAUGGGGAAAUGGUGUCUCCACUGAAGCUUUCUCACCAAUCCUUGUUUCCACAGCAAACCAAAUUUUUCCAAAACCAAUUAUCACAGGGACAGAAAAUGUGGUGAAAUCUUAUGAACAGGGGCAUAAGCAACAAAACAAACUCCACAGUGGUAUUAACCCUUCCGUAUGCUAUCCAAAGAUUCAAAAUCUAUAUUUUUGGCUGGAUUAAAAAUGUACUUCUUCUGGCUUACAUACAAAUUCAAUUAUGAGCAAACCUAUAUAACUUAUCUUGUGUGUAAUUUGGGGACUGCCUGUAUUUUGAUUGCUCAAGAUGACUUAACUAAACGUUGAAGGAAAAACGGUAGACCAAAUAUAUCUCUGUGUAUUCCUUGCCUAAGAAAACCCUUUCAAAUUCAUGAGGUCACCGUAAGUAGAUAGGCAAUAUAUACACAUAUACUGAAACUCACACCUUCACUGUCAGGAUACUGACAUAAUCAACUGAAAAUUAUUCAAACUAGAAUAAGAGACUGUAUAAUGACACACACAAAAGCUUGUCUACAGUAAGCUUUAAAUACACAUGAUAAAAAUUAAGCAAGCGACAAUGCUCCAAUGAAUAAAGCCUUACAUCCCCCCCCCCCCCCCCCACAGGAGUGCUAUUCCUCACAGCCCUUAUGGCAAUCCAAGUUUAGCUAUAUUGCUACAUCACUUUUCUUGUUACAUUCUGCAUUUUGUCAAAUGUUAAUGUUUUCUCUAUCUCAGUGGAAAACAGCGAGUAAAAUAAAAAACAACACUGUAUUAGACAUUACUGAUUCUACCUGAUGUUCUAAUUGCUUUUGACGUCGCCUCUCUCUUUCCUCAAUUUGAGCAGGAUCCAAAAGGGCAGUCAUUGAACGAAGGAAACUAGGAACAGAAUAACAUCUGGGUGAUAUGAUCAAUUAAAAAUAUACAUAAAACUGUUCAUAAAAAAAGUCUGUAGCAUUUCAGCACACCAGCUAUUAUACUACUUUCAACAAUUUUCAUGUAUGCAAUUUUGCAUUAAUACAAGUCCAAAGAAAAUUAUCUAAUUUUGUACAUAAAUAAAGAACAGUAACUGAAACCAAAACAAACUGUUCAACACAAUCUCCAAGAAUAGCCUUGCAGAUUAUAAUGCUAAGGAAAUAACAGCAGUAAUCAGACAGGGAAAUUCACCUGGCUUUCUGACUUGACUCUGAAAUAUUGCUUCUAGAUGUUUUUCCAGAAACCUCAAUCUCUGUAGGUGUCGAAUGGCAUGAAGUUGUAGGUGUGAAAGCUGUUUGUUUCUGAACCUCAGGGGGAAGAUGUAAAGCUUCAGCCUGCUUUUUAUAUGUUGAAUUUAAUGGACAUUGUGAAAAACUGUUAGCCUGAUUCCUGAAAGAAUCAAAAUGCAUUGUCCACUUGUCAUGUUCUUCACCCUAUAAAAUGUGAAGCACAAUAUAUAUAAGCUUAUGCCAAUUUUUUCUACCAAAUUAUAUGAAGCAGCCAACACCAUCUAUAUAUAUAACAGGGUAAUGAAAUUUCAGCCUAGGACAAAACAACAAAACUAAACACCCCACAACCUCGAAAAUUGACAGCACAACCCCUCAUCCAUGCCUCAAGUACAAGACAACAAAAAGAAAAGAAAAAUAAAGUCCUAAUCAGAGGGAGAGAAAUAAUUGUUUUUAUCCAAUUGCUGCCAGUUAGAAGGCUAAGCUCCACCCACUUGGUCUCCUAGCAACCCACUCAGCCCAGGAGACAGGCAGAGAAUAUCUACCGAGAAAGCAGUCACUAAUGAAAAGACCAAGGCAUUGACAUCCCUGGCCCAUCCUCUGUUUGGAUACCAGCCAGCAUGGCAACGUCAAGAAAUAGCUUUCUAAGAUCUACAGAGAUACCUGCAGGAACACCUCAGCAAGCGAGAGUCCAAAAGUGGCAGGUUAAAACCCAGAACUUCAAUCAGUGGCUAAUACCGAAUGUGCCACAUGCACAAUGGAGGACCUUCUUACAGCGACACCAGAGGCACUUGAAGUGGCCAGCUUGUGGUCAAAGGAAAUUCAGUAUAAUGCAAAGUUUUUAACUUUUGUUUGUGGAUUUUUAAAUACAUUAUAACUAUAUUCUAAAUUCACUUCUGACAUGAUAAAUAAAUAAAUAAAUAAAUAAAUGUAAAUAUCAGGAUUUGAAUGUUUACAUUCACUGGACAAUACACAAAAAAAUUAAGUGCUCAUAAGGAAAGCUAGAAAAGCUUUGUAUUUCUUAGUAUGUAGUUACUAAAAGACCGCAUUACCCCGCAUGUCUAGCAUUAUUGUCAAUAAAACCUUAGAGAAAGUAUGCCUGGCAGUUUGAGGACUCAGCUUAUAUAACCCUUCAACUACAGAUAUCCUUCUCACUCCUUGAAGAAUGGGAUAUAAAGGAAAACAAGGAUACUGUGAAGGAUAGAGUGUACACCCCUCCCUUUCUCUUUUACAAGCCAGCAAACUAAGGAGCUUAUACAUACGGCCAUAUAUGUGGAGUUUGUUCCCAAAAGGUACCAAAUUUCCCCCUCUAUAACUAAAAUGAGUUAUAGAUGGCAGCACAAUGUUGGCUAGUAGAAGAAUAUUACGGACAGAUCAAAACUAUUGAAGUAUAUCAAAUCACUUUGGAAAAUGUAAUUUUAUAGCAAAAUAAUGCAUAUCCUCAGGACAUUUUUUCCGAUUCCUGAAAAAUUUCUUCAGAUGGAUUUGGUACUCUUUGGAAACAAGCUCCAUAAAUUUCUCCUCUUCCAAGUAAUUGUGUUAGCUGGAACAGAGUGAUAGGCAUAUGGCAAAGAUUUCUUAUUGUAAAGGUACACAGAUACAUAUAUAAACAGAAUGCAAAUGGUAAGAAGGAAUACAAGAAGGAAUUUUAUUACUACACAUUUUAUAUUGUACUAGCUGUGCCCAGCCACGCGUUGCUGUGGUGAAGUAUGGCGGUAUGGGAAAUAAAGUAUUGAGGAGUUGGUGGUAGUUAAGAUAAAGGGCAAAGGUUUCCCCCUGACAUUAAGUCCAGUCGUGUCUGACUCUAGGGGUUGGUGCUCAUUUCCAUUUCUAAGCAGAAGAGCUGGCGUAGAUUCCUCCAAGGUCAUGUGGCAUAACUGCAUGGAGCACUGUUACCUUCCCGCCGGAGCAGUAGCUAUUCAUCUACUCUCAUUUGCAUGUUUUUGAACUUCUGGGUUGGCAGAAGCUGGGGCUAACAGUGGGGGCUCUCUCCGCUCCCCCAAUUCAAACUUCUGGACCUUAUGGUCCAGAAGUUCAGUAGUUCAGCGCUUUAACACGCUGCGCCAUCAGGGGAUAUUAUUUCCUAAAGCUUGUGAAUAUACAGUAUUUCUGAUUGUGGUUUUUUUUGUCUGUUGGAGGCAAGUAUGAAUGCUGCAAUUAGGCAAAAUGAUUAGCAUGUAAUGGCCUUGCAGCUUUAAAGCCUGGCUGUUUCCUCACUGAGUGAAUUUUUUGUUGAGAGGUGUUAGCUGGCCCUGAUUGCUUCCUAUCUGGAAUUCCCUUGUUUUCAGAGUGGUGUUGUUUGCGAUAUUUUAUGUGCUUCUACUGUCUGUGGCCCUGAGAAAACAGAGGAUAUGCCAGACUUUGAUGAUGGGAAUACUUUGUUGGGAGGUGUUAGCUGGCCCUGAUUGUUUCCUGUGUGAAAUUCCCCUAUUUUUAGAGUGUUGCUCUUUAUUUAGAGUUCUGUUUUUAGAGAUUCUCUUGUUCUGUUUUAUCAUACCACAGUAAUUUUUAUAUAUUCUGAUUUUAGUGUUUUUGAAUACUUGGAGCCAGAUUGUAUUCAUUUUCACGGUUCACAGCAACACAACAACAACAACAACAACAAUAAUAGCAAUAAUAAUGAUUUUGGUAAUGCACACUGCUUCAUUCCCUUCUCAGCUUCCUUUCUGGAAGAAUCCUUUCUUGGGAGGUGUUAGCUGGCCCUGAUUGUUUCCUUUGUGGAAUUUCCAAUUUCCCUGCUUUCAGAGUCUUGCUCUUUAUUUACUGUCCUGGUUUUAGAGAUUAUAUUAGUCUGUAUUAUUGUAUCACAGUAAUUAUUUCAUAUUAUAGUAGAAUCUCACUUAUCCAACAUUCGCUUAUCCAAUGUUCUGGAUUAUCCAACACAGUGUGCCUUUUAGUAGUCAAUGUUGUAGUAGUCAGUGUUUUAAAUUCAUUGUGAUAUUUUGGUGGUAAAUUUGUAAAUACAGUAAUUACUACAUAGCAUUACUGCGCAUGGAACUACGUUUUCUGUCAAAUUUGUUGUAUAACAUGAUGUUUUCGUGCUUAAUUUAUAAUGAUGACCUAAUUUGAUGUUUAAUCGGCUUUUCCUGAAUCCCUUCUUAUUAUCCAACAUAUUCACUUAUCCAACGUUCUGCCGGCCUGUUUAUGAUGGAUAAGCGAGAGUCUACUGUAUAUUGAUAAUGUUAUAUUAUCUGCUUAGAAAUGGAUUAUAUGAGGCCCCUUCUACAGAACUGGAUAAAAUGCACACUGAAGUGGAUUAUAUGGCAGUGUGGAGUCAAGAUAAUCCAGUUCAAAGCAGAUAAGAUUCUAAAUGGAUUAUAUAGCUGUAUGGAAGGGCCUGGAGUCUACACGGCCAUAUAACCCAGUGCAAAUUAGAUAAUCUGUGGAAGAGGCCUAAGUGAGGCCUAACUCUGCCUGUCCCCUGGGCUGAGUAGGUUGCUAGGCGACCAAGUGGGCGGAGCUUAGCCUUCUGACUGGCAGCAAUUGGAUAAAAACAAUUAUUCCUCUCCCUGUAACUAGGACUUUUUUUUCUUUUCUUUUUGUUGUAUCAACCUAGAGGUGUGGAUGAUGGGUUGUGUUGUCAAAUUUCGAAGUUGAGGGGCCUGUAGUUUUGUUGUUUUGUCCGCUGCCCUGAUUCCAUCACUCUAGAUAUAUAUAAAUAAAUAUAUAUAAAAUAUAAAAAUUAUAUCUAUCUAUCUAUCUAUCUAUCUACAUACACAUAUUAUAUAUAUAAUAUAUAAUAUAAUAUAAAAAAUAGAAGAUAGAUAGAUUGAUGGAAGAAUGAGAGAUGACAAGGUUGUUUAAACUUAUUUCUUUUUAAAAUAAUGACUUUUUUGUUUCAAAUUACCCUUUAUAAACCACAACUACCUUUGAUAAAUUACAUUUUUCUUCAAGUUUUCGCAGCUUAUCAGCUUCUUUCUGUUUAUCAAGCUCUUCCAGCCAUUUUUUCUGUUGUUCACGUUUGACAGCACUAAAAGGAUGUUCUACUGGUGCUGGUUCCUAAAAAAGAAACAACAGGUUUAUAUCCACAAACUGUAAUUUGGUUCAAAUAUGUGGACAUUCUUAUCUGCUGGACAUGUACAGCAAGCAAGAUAAGCAAGAUGAAUUAACCUGAUUACAGCUUGCUUUAUCUUCAGCAAUUACAUUAUAGAGAUUAGAGAUUCUAUACAGGUCCUAGAGAUAAUGCACACACACAGAUUUUCAGAUGAUUGUAGAUGGGUUCUUACUCAAUUCUAACUUCAGUCCAACAUAAUGACUAUAAAAAUAUAACACUGUCGUAUUCUCAAUCACCAAUUACAUCCAAGUCAAAGGUUCAAGAGAGGAGGCAUCCUUGAUGAAAAUUUUGCAGGGAGGCCUUUUCCUUUGUGUUUUGCUAUUAACAUAAACAUAAAAAUAGAAUUUAGGCUUAGCUCUGCUUUCAGUACAAAACAAACUGUUCUGUAAUACCUGUUUUUACUUAUACUUCCCUACAUUUUAUCAAUAAUGUUUUGUCAACAUGCUCUAGAAACUGACAUUCAUUAUCUGUAAAAGAGAUGCUUUUCUCUUUAUUGACACUCUUGUGCUACAAAGUCCUUGGGGAAAACAAAUGGAAUGCAGUUCAAAAAUAAACAAUUUUCCUUUAUCACAGUUUGAUGUGUCUUGCCUCACAGCUGAUGGGGAAGAGCAGGCCCAACAGUAGAUGAACACCACCUCACUGUCUAUCAUUUUUUCUUCCCCCCCCCCGAAAAAUGUAAAAUCCACAUAUGUUUUGUAAAUCACACUGACUUAAGUCUUUGAUUAAUAUAUUCUAAAAUAUAGCAUGACCAAUAAUCUGUCCCUAUAGUAUCUCAUGCCAUUUAAUGUAAGUGGAAUAAAUGACAAUUUAUUAUACUUUAGUUGGGAUGCAAUAUGCAAGAUAGUGCAAUAUAAAUCUCCACAAGGAUACCUACUAAUUCCAUUAUCUGGGAUACAGAGGCUACUUCCUAUUUUUACAUAGCAUCGACAAAUGGCGCCUGUCCUGGUACUAUAUGAACUAAUCCUUUCAGUGCAUUAGUGUGGGACGUCAUGUAAUUGAAGCAUUUCUACCCAAUCAAACAGAGUGAAAUGGCUACAAAGACACAUAUCACAAACAGACAAAUACAUUGUCAUAAAUUUAAUAUUGAACGCACAAAACUUUUUCAUGACAAUCAGUUCUUACCCCUAACACAAAUGCUGUCCGAAUAGCAGCAGGUAAAUCAGGAGAACUGAAACUAGAAAACUGUCCUGUUUGACCACUCAAAACGCUGGGUGAUACUUCACUAGUCUCGGUGGUUACACAUCUACAAAUGUGGCUAUCUUCUGUUGUAGCACUCAGGUCAUCUGAAAAUGCCAUCUAGAAAUGAAGUAUUAUUAUUAUUAGUUCAUUUUUAUGAAUUAGAUAUCUAUCUUAGGUGUUUUUUCAAUAAUGAGACUAAAGGUGAAUUACAAAAACAAAAAUACAUUUAAAAGCAAUUAGAAAGUAAAAACUUUUAAAAGUUAUUGUUAAAAACUAUCCAUUAAAUGAAAUCCAUUAUAAAAUCUAGCCAUAAAAAUACAAAUGAUUAAAAUUAACAAAAUAGCAACACCUUUCAAAGCUCUUGUAACAAAUUUCUAAAAGUGGGAUGGAAGCUAUCCCAGGAUACAUAUACACUAUAGAAUUAGUGCAGCUUGACACCACUUUAAAUUCCAUGGCUUGAUACUAUGGAAUCAUAGGAGUUGUAGUUUUAUACAAUUCUUAGUCUCUGCCAUAUAGUACUGGUGCGUCACCAAACUAGAAAUACCAGGAUCCCAUAGCUAAAAUACUGUAGUGUCAAACUGCAUAAUUUUGCAGUGUAGAUGCAUCCCAGGAGGUUCUAAAGCCUGGUAAAAACAAUUAGGAAAGUACUCUCUUGUUUUCCCAUCAAAUUCUCCUGAGAAGACAGUGGAACAAAAAGAAGGACCCCUCCAGAAGAUAUUAGAGCUCAAGCAGACUCAUUCUGUAAGACAGUUCUCUGAAUAGCCAGUAAACAAGCUAAGCAGGAUUUUAUAAGUCAUAACCAGAGUUUUUAAUUGUGCCCAGAAAUGGACUGGCAGGUAAUUGAGCUGGGAAGAACAGGAAGGACGACGACUAGAGCGAAGAUGGCGGAAAACUCAACUUUUAUGUGACAAGACAAUAUAGAAGACAUCUUCGCUCUUAUAAAGUGGCAAUUUGCACAGGAAAGAAAGGUUCCUUCUCUGCACGUAUUGUGUCUGCAGAUUCACAUCCAGCUGAGCUGUUCAGAGUGGUGAGAGGCUUAACCCAGGUGCCCUCCCCUCUAAGCCCAUUGCUGGAACCUUUGGUAGCUCACUGUGAUGCUUUUAACAACAAUUUUAAACUUCAAUGUUAUGUCUAAUUUUUGUUUGUGUAUUUUAAUAUGUAUUGUAUGUAAAUAUGUUUUAAUAUGUAUAUUUUACAGUGUGUUUUUAAAUGGUAAUGUGUUUUGAUUGUGUGUUUUAACAAUGUUGUAACCCGCCUUGAGCCGUGAGAGGUGGGUAAGAAAUAAAAAUUAUUAUUUUCUCUUAUCCAGUCAA